RNAcentral lists this non-coding RNA (28 nucleotides) under Bombyx mori (domestic silkworm). The record is from RNAcentral. Lineage: Eukaryota; Metazoa; Arthropoda; Insecta; Lepidoptera; Bombycidae.
UCCUCAGCAUUGGACUCGAGAUGACUCC